AAACCAAUGUCUAGUCUGGACCUGCAUUGUUGCAUGCAAUUGAUACUGGAGCUUAACUCAUCAUUCCAAUACCGUCCAAAUACUUAACUUUUGUUAUUCUAAUUUUCCUUGUACAAGAAAUGUUGUAAAACUUCAAAAUGGCUACAAAGCAGAUGUAAGAAUUGCUUAUAAAAAAGAUGUAGAAUAAUUGCCAAUGAGACAACUCUCCACAAGAGACCAAAGACACAGAAAUUCACAUCUAUGUCACUAUACCGCCUUCAACAAUGAGCAAAGCCCAUACUGCAUAGUCAGCUAUAGAAGGCCUCAAAAUUAGAAAUGUACAACAAAUCAAACAAGAAAACUAAUGGCCUAUUAAUUUAUGUACAAAAAAAGAAUGAAAAAAAUAUGUAACACAUCAACAAACGACAACCACUGAAUUACAGGCUCCUAACUUGGGACAGGCACAUACAUACAGAAUGUGGCAGGGUUAAACAUGUUACUCGUUACAACUCCACAUUAUCAAGCUGUAAACAAAAUUUUAAAUCA
This 525-nucleotide long non-coding RNA is filed under the name Mytilus galloprovincialis (Mediterranean mussel). The record is from RNAcentral. Lineage: Eukaryota; Metazoa; Mollusca; Bivalvia; Mytilida; Mytilidae.